GCGGAUAUGGCGGAAUUGGCAGACGCGUACGGUUCAGGUCCGUAUGAGUAAUAUCGUGGGGGUUCGAGUCCCUUUAUCCGCACCA
Molecule: transfer RNA, 85 nt
Filed under: Tissierellia bacterium
Lineage: Bacteria; Bacillati; Bacillota; Tissierellia
Description: tRNA-Leu
Rfam family: tRNA
About the family: Transfer RNA (tRNA) molecules are approximately 80 nucleotides in length. Their secondary structure includes four short double-helical elements and three loops (D, anti-codon, and T loops).
Source: RNAcentral